This 445-nucleotide ribosomal RNA is filed under the name uncultured bacterium. Its description in RNAcentral is "bacterial SSU rRNA". It matches the Rfam family "Bacterial small subunit ribosomal RNA", at positions 958 to 1401 of the family's 1533-position model. The record is from RNAcentral.
AACGCGAAGAACCUUACCAGCCCUUGACAUGUCCCGUAUGGGGCCGAGAGAUCGGCUUCUUCAGUUCGGCUGGCGGGAACACAGGUGCUGCAUGGCUGUCGUCAGCUCGUGUCGUGAGAUGUUGGGUUAAGUCCCGCAACGAGCGCAACCCUCACCUUCAGUUGCCAUCGGGUAAAGCCGGGCACUCUGGAGGAACUGCCGGUGACAAGCCGGAGGAAGGCGGGGAUGACGUCAAGUCCUCAUGGCCUUUAUGGGCUGGGCUACACACGUGCUACAAUGGCGGUGACAGAGGGAGGCAGAGGGGCGACCCCGAGCCAAUCUCGAAAAGCCGUCUCAGUUCGGAUUGUUCUCUGCAACUCGAGAGCAUGAAGCUGGAAUCGCUAGUAAUCGCGGAUCAGCACGCCGCGGUGAAUACGUUCCCGGGCCUUGUACACACCGCUACAGU